AGUGAACGCUGGCGGUAGGCCUAACACAUGUAAGUCGAACGGCAGCACAGUAAGAGCUUGCUCUUACGGGUGGCGAGUGGCGGACGGGUGAGGAAUACAUCGGAAUCUACUUUUUCGUGGGGGAUAACGUAGGGAAACUUACGCUAAUACCGCAUACGACCUACGGGUGAAAGCAGGGGAUCUUCGGACCUUGCGCGAUUGAAUGAGCCGAUGUCGGAUUAGCUAGUUGGCGGGGUAAAGGCCCACCAAGGCGACGACCCGUAGCUGGUCUGAGAGGAUGAUCAGCCACACUGGAACUGAGACACGGUCCAGACUCCUACGGGAGGCAGCAGUGGGGAAUAUUGGACAAUGGGCGCAAGCCUGAUCCAGCCAUACCGCGUGGGUGAAGAAGGCCUUCGGGUUGUAAAGCCCUUUUGUUGGGAAAGAAAAGCAGCAGGUUAAUACCCCGCUGUUCUGACGGUACCCAAAGAAUAAGCACCGGCUAACUUCGUG
Molecule: ribosomal RNA, 492 nt
Filed under: uncultured bacterium
Lineage: Bacteria
Description: partial 16S ribosomal RNA
Rfam family: Bacterial small subunit ribosomal RNA
Source: RNAcentral